Molecule: ribosomal RNA, 253 nt
Filed under: uncultured bacterium
Lineage: Bacteria
Description: partial 16S ribosomal RNA
Rfam family: Bacterial small subunit ribosomal RNA
Source: RNAcentral
UACGGGGGGAGCAAGCGUUGUUCGAAUUUACUGGGCGUAAAGGGCGCGUAGGCGGCGCAACAAGUCACUUGUGAAAUCUCCGGGCUUAACCCGGAGCGGCCAAGUGAUACUGUCGUGCUAGAGUGCGGAAGGGGCUACUGGAAUUCUCGGUGUAGCGGUGAAAUGCGUAGAUAUCGAGAGGAACACCUGCGGCGAAGGCGGGUUGCUGGGCUGACACUGACGCUGAUGCGCGAAAGCCAGGGGAGCGAACGGG